AAGAAAAGCUAUCAGCAGGUGCAUUUGGCACAUCACACACAAAUGAGUGGGCUGCAAUACUAGUGCUGGAGUAGCAGCCAAAAGUUGUCACAGGGAAUGAUCACAAGACUCAGCACUGGGUGGUCCAGCAUGGUCCUGAAGUGGGAGAUGGCUUAAUACACUGGAAUAGUCAUCCUGUUGUGACAAGACAGGAGUGUGGCUUGGAAAAGCGAACUUGAGACCAUCUUAGUUUUGUUGCUAAUGCUUGCAGUUGGGUUUUAUUCCUCAUUAAGCUGUUAGACUGUUUUGAUCUUUAUUUCAACAAGGCCAAGCUGUUACAUCUUAAUCAUAUGCACUGCACUUAGAGUUUGUAUUCCUCUUCUAAGAACUGAAUGAGUUACAUCUUGCCUGGUUGAUAUCUCUGGGCAAAUUCCAUGCAGAAGGCAUUGGGCAGCCACACCCAGGGCCAGAAUUUUCUCCAAAACACCAGGGGUUGGUUUUUUCCAGUGUUACACACACAGAUGCAAAGCACAAACCCAUUUUUAUUUGCAGUUCCCAAGAAGGUUUGGACCUGGACAUGUGGGUAGGAAAUCAAUCUAAAAUUAGACUUACCUAACCUGACCUUGUAAUUAAGCUCGAUAUCUAAGCAUCCGUGGGAAUAAUCCCCAGGCCUGAAGUUAUUGCCUGUUGUGAGCUGGGCUGUUUCCCUGUCUGAGGUUAGUACUGUAUUGUUCUCUGAAGGGCUGUGUGAGUCACACCUCACGUGAGUAGUUUUAUCUCUCUAAUUAGUCUACAUAUGGAGAGGGUUAAAAAAGGGUACAGAAAAGGACAAAGACAAAACCAUAUCGGGGGUCCCUGUAAACUUGUGAGGCUAUCCAUAUGAUUUCCUAGUUGGGAAAUCAAGCACUUCAAACUUCUUUCAUCUAAGCUACAACAGUGAAAUGUCUCUUCCAUAUGUCAGUAGUAUAAUCUACAUAAUGAACAAGAUUUCACAGAUGGACGGGCUGAUGCAAUGGACAUUCUUUUCAUAUAUUGCUUUUCACUUUUAUCAUUUUCUUCAGUUUCCCACAAGAUGGGAUGAAUAUUGGCAAUUACUGAGCUAUUAUUUUCUAUGUUGUGCAACUAAUAGAAGUGUUAUAAUUCAGCAAGGUGAGAUCUUGUUCCAGAACAAUCAGUGGCACAAAAUAGCUAAAGAAAAAGAAGGCAGACAUUAAAAAGAGAAGAUACCACCGCCCUUUCCUCUCCUCCAAAAAAAAAAUCCCGAAGCCGCUUUAGAAUGUGUGUGCCCUCUUCAAAACAAAUAAAACAAACCCCACACAUUUCAUACUUUACUUUUUGACCAA
Neopsephotus bourkii (Bourke's parrot) is the source of this 1322-nucleotide long non-coding RNA. RefSeq lists it as uncharacterized. The record is from RefSeq and is a predicted model, not a curated record. Lineage: Eukaryota; Metazoa; Chordata; Aves; Psittaciformes; Psittacidae. The transcript is spliced from 2 exons.